CCUACGGGUGGCAGCAGUAGGGAAUCUUCCACAAUGGACGAAAGUCUGAUGGAGCAACGCCGCGUGCGUGAAGAAGGGUUUCGGCUCGUAAAGCUCUGUUGGUAGUGAAGAAAGAUAGGGGUAGUAACUGUCCCCUAUUUGACGGUAAUUACUUAGAAAGUCACGGCUAACUACGUGCCAGCAGCAGCGGUAAUACGUAGGUGGCAAGCGUUGUCCGGUUUUAUUGGGCGUAAAGCGAGUGAAGGCGGUUCAAUAAGCCUGAUGUGAAAGCCUUGGGCUCAACCGGAGAAUUGCAUCAGAAACUGUUGGACUUGAGUGCGGAAGAGGAGAGUGGAACGCGAUGUGUAGCGGUGGAAUGCGUAGAUAUAUGGAAGAACACCAGUGGCGAAGGCGGCUCUCUGGUCUGCAACUGACGCUGAGGCUCGAAAGCAUGGGUAGCGAACAGGAUUAGAUACCCGAGUAGUC
RNAcentral lists this ribosomal RNA (465 nucleotides) under uncultured bacterium. RNAcentral describes it as "partial 16S ribosomal RNA". It matches the Rfam family "Bacterial small subunit ribosomal RNA", at positions 338 to 795 of the family's 1533-position model. The record is from RNAcentral.